AACUGCGAUAAGUAAUGUGAAUUGCAGAAUUCAGUGAAUCAUCGAGUCUUUGAACGCACAUUGCGCCCCCUGGCAUUCCGGGGGGCAUGCCUGUCCGAGCGUCAUUACGCACCCUCAAGCCCGGCUUGUGUGAUGGGCCCUGGCGUCUCGUUCGCGAGACGGGCCCGAAAGGCAGCGGCGGCGUCGACCCGAUGAGCCCGAGCGUAUGGGGACUUUUGUCACACGUUUGCGGUGCGGACCGGCGCCUGCUUGACUUUUCUGAUUAUCCAGGUUGACCUCGGAUCAGGUAGGGAUACCCGCUGAACUUAAGC
This 311-nucleotide unclassified non-coding RNA is filed under the name plant metagenome. RNAcentral's name for it is "partial contains 5.8S ribosomal RNA, internal transcribed spacer 2, and large subunit ribosomal RNA". The stretch from base 1 to 104 matches the Rfam family "5.8S ribosomal RNA", at positions 51 to 154 of the family's 154-position model. The record is from RNAcentral.